Canis lupus familiaris (dog) is the source of this 95-nucleotide non-coding RNA. NCBI's taxonomy places the organism in Eukaryota, Metazoa, Chordata, Mammalia, Carnivora, Canidae. The record is from Rfam.
AGGAGGAACAGCCCCAGUGGUUGCUGCAGCUCUGGAAACCUGGAUACAGCUCCUGCAGGAACUACUCUGCAGGGCCCUGGAGGCUCUGGGGCGGG